UGGCAAACCCAUUGAAAAGUGGGGACGCAAAGUUAAGUGUCUAACCCGGAAACGGAAUGAUCGACUGACUGCC
Molecule: non-coding RNA, 73 nt
Filed under: human gut metagenome
Description: Cyclic di-GMP-I riboswitch
Rfam family: c-di-GMP-I riboswitch aptamer
About the family: GEMM was predicted in a large-scale screen for bacterial structured RNA regulatory elements. Genes associated with GEMM are involved in a diverse array of functions, including chemotaxis regulation, signal transduction, secretion and chitin.
Source: RNAcentral